AUAAUGAAGGAUUUUCUCUAAAGAAAAAUGGCUCCAAAUGUUGGGGAAGAGUCAUAAGGUACAGCCCGAUCUACAUAUUUAUAUAGAAAAGUAUGAUUUUAUGCAAGUACUACUAUGAAAAGAUGAAUUCAUAUGAAGGGAAACUUAAUUGCUUCACAAAUCACAAUUAGCCAAUAACGUUACGUUUCGUAGGCUAAUUCAAUAGGCCCUCGUUUCAUUUCAUCAACCAUUCAAUUACUUUUGUAUACAAAAGAUUAUAAAGCAAACAGCUAAUCAAGAAAGAGAAAAAGGAAAAAUUGUUAGAAUAGGAUUUAAAAAAUUAAAAAUUGACGAAAAUUGAAUAAUAUGGAGUGAAGAGGAAACGCAACUUAUUCUAAAAAAACUAGAACUUAAAGUAGACAAUAAACACCAAAUUAAAAAAAUAGGUGCAAACAACUUAAAUAAUGAGGGAAUAUUAGAAACAACAGCGUAUAUUUAAGGUAGACAGAGAGUAAUUUAGAAAAAUCUUUAAAUGUAAGAGAUGCGAAUAUAAAAAAAUUAAAUGAAGAAUGAAUCAAAUUGGAAAUAAUAUAACUGUUUAUGUGAGAGAUAAAUGGAGCGAUAUUUUUGGAAAAGUAAAAACAAUCCUGAAGUAUAGUGAGGAUGGAUACAUAAUAAUGGGAUGAGGUUUUAAUUCAAAAACUGCAAAUGAGAGUGGGAAAGAAAACGAAACUAUCACGGAAGAGAAUAGAUUAUCGAAAGAUAAACUAGUAAACAAGGAGGAGGAAACAUUACUGAAUUGGAUUUCCGAUAAAAGAAUUCUUAUUCUGAAUAAAAAUGUAAAAGGAGAUGGAGAUUUCGCCUGCAUAGGAGGAACAGAAAGGUCAGUAGAUUAUGUAAUCAUUAAUCGAAGAACAAAAGAACUUGUAGAAAGAAUACAAAUGGUAAAUAGCAACGAGUUGGAUCAUUAAAUAUUAUGCUUGGAACUAAAAAUGCAGACGGGAAAACAAAUAAAGGGGGAAAAUAUGAAAUAGUUACAUGAGAAAGCUGGUAUGAAGAAAACAUUUUAAAUUAAGUAUUUGCAAAUUUAGAAAAAAAAAAUAAGCGCAGUACAAGACGGGGGGAGUAGUAAGUGGAAGAAGAAAAAUCGGGUCAGUUACAUAUGCAGAUGAUAUAGUACUAUUAGCAAAUAAUGUUUGUUGUUUAAAUCAUUAACGUAAUCUGUAUAAAAUAUUGUAUUUUGUUGGACAAAUAUAACGCUGUAUAUUCCAUUAAUUUCAGCACAUUUACACUAUCAUCAAUCGAUGUAAAACGAUAACUCGUUAACGCAAAAGUUAUCUGAUUAUUUUGUAAGAUGCAGAAAGUUGCAUUGUACGAAAAUUUUAUACGUUUUGCAACUGUUAUGGACAAUUUGGUACUAUCAUUAAUAUUAUCUGCAUGAUUUCUUUGAUUAUUUUCUUCAAUAAAAAAUAAAUAAUAUAAAAUCGUA
Long non-coding RNA from Agrilus planipennis (emerald ash borer), 1468 nucleotides. RefSeq lists it as uncharacterized. The record is from RefSeq and is a predicted model, not a curated record. The transcript has 2 exons. Lineage: Eukaryota; Metazoa; Arthropoda; Insecta; Coleoptera; Buprestidae.